This 466-nucleotide ribosomal RNA is filed under the name uncultured bacterium. Its description in RNAcentral is "partial 16S ribosomal RNA". It matches the Rfam family "Bacterial small subunit ribosomal RNA", at positions 338 to 795 of the family's 1533-position model. The record is from RNAcentral.
CCUACGGGUGGCUGCAGUGGGGAAUCUUCCGCAAUGGGCGCAAGCCUGACGGAGCAACGCCGCGUGAAUGAAGAAGGUCUUCGGAUCGUAAAGUUCUGUUCUUAGGGAAGAAGUCUUUUCUUGUGAAUAAUGGGAGAAGGUGACGGUACCUAUGGAGAAAGCUCCGGUUAACUACGUGCCAGCAGCCGCGGUAAUACGUAGGGAGCGAGCGUUGUCCGUAAUUACUGGGCGUAAAGGUCGCGUAGGCGGGAACUUAAGUUAGAUGUGAAAACUCCGGGCUCAACCUGGAGACUGCAUUUAAAACUGGGUUUCUUGAGGGCAGGAGAGGAAAGUGGAAUUCCUAGUGUAGCGGUGAAAUGCGUAGAUAUUAGGAGGAACACCAGUGGCGAAGGCGACUUUCUGGACUGUACCUGACGCUGAGGCGCGAAAGCAUGGGGAGCGAACAGGAUUAGAUACCCCAGUAGUC